GCAUAAUCAUUAGUUUUUUAAUUGAAAACUAGAAUGAAUGAUUGGACGAAAUAUAUACUGUUUUAAAAUUAAUAAAUAGAAUUUUUUUUUUUAAUAAAAAAAUUAAAAUAUAAUAAAAAGACGAGAAGACCCUAUAGAGUUUUAUAUUGUAAUUUUUAUAAUUUAAUAAUAUUAAUUAUAAUAUUUUAUUGGGGUGAUAAAAAAAUUUAAUUAACUUUUUUGAAAAUAAACAAUAAUUUUUGAAUAAAUAUAUUUAUCUAUUUUUAUAAAUUAAGAUUAAGUUACCUUAGGGAUAACAGCGUAAUUUUUAUUUUAAGUUCUUAUUGAAAUAAAUAGAUUGCGACCUCGAUGUUGGAUUAAAAUUUAUAUUAAAUGCAAAAGUUUAAAAUAUUAGGUCUGUUCGACCUUUAAAAUUUU
RNAcentral lists this ribosomal RNA (417 nucleotides) under Helicopsyche albescens. RNAcentral describes it as "partial 16S ribosomal RNA". The record is from RNAcentral. Lineage: Eukaryota; Metazoa; Arthropoda; Insecta; Trichoptera; Helicopsychidae.